GAUGAAGAACGUAGCGAAAUGCGAUAAGUAAUGCGAAUUGCAGAAUCCGUGAGUCAUCGAAUCUUUGAACGCACAUUGCACCCUCUGGUAUUCCGGAGGGCAUGCCUGUUCGAGCGUCAUUAUCACCCCUCAAGCCCGGCUUGUUGUUGGAUGCAGCGCUUAUCCCGCUCCUCCCAAAGAUAAUGACGGCGUCUGCGACGACUCCUGUACACUGAGCUUUCGGGCACGUACACGGCUAGAAGUCCAGACCCGGUCGCCGUCCCCCCCGCGGGGACACCCAUUACCACAAGGUUGACCUCGGAUCAGGUAGGAAUACCCGCUGAACUUAAGCAUAUCAAUAAGCGGAGGA
RNAcentral lists this unclassified non-coding RNA (349 nucleotides) under soil metagenome. RNAcentral describes it as "partial contains 5.8S ribosomal RNA, internal transcribed spacer 2, and large subunit ribosomal RNA". The stretch from base 1 to 119 matches the Rfam family "5.8S ribosomal RNA", at positions 35 to 154 of the family's 154-position model. The record is from RNAcentral.